Molecule: ribosomal RNA, 189 nt
Filed under: uncultured bacterium
Lineage: Bacteria
Description: partial 16S ribosomal RNA
Rfam family: Bacterial small subunit ribosomal RNA
Source: RNAcentral
CCUACGGGAGGCAGCAGUGAGGAAUAUUGGUCAAUGGGCGCAAGCCUGAACCAGCCAUCCCGCGUGAAGGACGACUGCCCUAUGGGUUGUAAACUUCUUUUGUAUAGGGAUAAACCUACCCUCGUGAGGGUAGCUGAAGGUACUAUACGAAUAAGCACCGGCUAACUCCGUGCCAGCAGCCGCGGUAAU